This 496-nucleotide ribosomal RNA is filed under the name uncultured bacterium. Its description in RNAcentral is "partial 16S ribosomal RNA". It matches the Rfam family "Bacterial small subunit ribosomal RNA", at positions 29 to 507 of the family's 1533-position model. The record is from RNAcentral.
AUGAACGCUGGCGGCGUGCCUAAUACCUGCAAGUCGAGCGAACAGACGAGGAGCUUGCUCCUCUGACGUUAGCGGCGGACGGGUGAGUAACACGUGGAUAACCUACCUAUAAGACUGGGAUUACUUCGGGAAACCGGAGCUAAUACCGGAUAAUAUAUUGAACCGCAUGGUUCAAUAGUGAAAGACGGUUUUGCUGUCACUUAUAGAUGGAUCCGCGCCGCAUUAGCUAGUUGGUAAGGUAACGGCUUACCAAGGCAACGAUGCGUAGCCGACCUGAGAGGGUGAUCGGCCACACUGGAACUGAGACACGGUCCAGACUCCUACGGGAGGCAGCAGUAGGGAAUCUUCCGCAAUGGGCGAAAGCCUGACGGAGCAACGCCGCGUGAGUGAUGAAGGUCUUCGGAUCGUAAAACUCUGUUAUUAGGGAAGAACAAAUGUGUAAGUAACUAUGCACGUCUUGACGGUACCUAAUCAGAAAGCCACGGCUAACUACGUG